UGAGCAAUCUGCCCUUCUCAUCGGAAUAAGCGUUGGAAACGACGUCUAAUGCCGAAUACGACCUCCUUUCGCAUGAUCGGAGGUGGAAAGCUCCGGCGGAGAAGGAUGAGCUCGCGGCCUAUCAGCUAGUUGGUGUGGGUAAUGGCCCACCAAGGCGACGACGGGUAGCCGGCCUGAGGAGGGCGAUCGGCCACACUGGGGACUGAGACACGGCCCAGACUCCGUAGGAG
RNAcentral lists this ribosomal RNA (230 nucleotides) under uncultured bacterium. RNAcentral's name for it is "partial 16S ribosomal RNA". It matches the Rfam family "Bacterial small subunit ribosomal RNA", at positions 118 to 347 of the family's 1533-position model. The record is from RNAcentral.